CGGGGUGCAGCAGGCGCGAAAACUUUACAAUGCUGGCAACAGCGAUAAGGGGACCUCGAGUGCCAGGAUACAAUCUUGGCUGUCGCGAUGCCUAAAAAGCAUUGCAUAGCAAGGGCCGGGCAAGACCGGUGCCAGCCGCCGCGGUAACACCGGCGGCUCGAGUGGUAACCGCUAUUAUUGGGUCUAAAGGGUCUGUAGCCGGCCGGAUAAGUCUUUUGGGAAAUCCAGCUGCUCAACAGUUGGGCUUUCAGAAGAUACUGUUCGGCUCGAGACCGGGAGAGGUGGGAGGUACUUCAGGGGUAGGGGUGAAAUCUUGUAAUCCUUGAAGGACCACCAGUGGCGAAGGCGUCUCACCAGAACGGAUCUGACGGCAAGGGACGAAAGCUAGGGGCACGAACCGGAUUAGAUACCCGGGUAGUCCUAGCCGUAAACGAUACUCGCUAGGUGUCAGCCACGGUGCGACCGUGGUUGGUGCCGUAGGGAAGCCGUGAAGCGAGCCACCUGGGAAGUACGGCCGCAAGGCUGAAACUUAAAGGAAUUGGCGGGGGAGCACAAGGGCGAUUCGCG
Molecule: ribosomal RNA, 567 nt
Filed under: uncultured archaeon
Lineage: Archaea
Description: bacterial SSU rRNA
Rfam family: Archaeal small subunit ribosomal RNA
Source: RNAcentral